CACAUGAUGAGGAUAUUCUAGGAUGUAAUCUUAAAAGCGUUCCCAGGCUUCUGGUAAUGUCUCAUCAUUGUGUUGCUGAAAACUUGAAAUUUUUCUACG
Molecule: small nucleolar RNA, 99 nt
Filed under: Sorghum bicolor (sorghum)
Lineage: Eukaryota; Viridiplantae; Streptophyta; Magnoliopsida; Poales; Poaceae
Description: Plant small nucleolar RNA R71
Rfam family: Plant small nucleolar RNA R71
About the family: R71 is a member of the C/D box family of snoRNAs containing the C (UGAUGA) and D (CUGA) box motifs. Multiple nearly identical copies of this snoRNA have been identified in Arabidopsis, and it is thought to function as a 2'-O-ribose methylation guide for 18S ribosomal RNA.
Source: Rfam by way of RNAcentral